This 466-nucleotide ribosomal RNA is filed under the name uncultured bacterium. RNAcentral describes it as "partial 16S ribosomal RNA". It matches the Rfam family "Bacterial small subunit ribosomal RNA", at positions 32 to 507 of the family's 1533-position model. The record is from RNAcentral.
CCAACUCCUUCUCCUUUCUUACCACAUGCACGUCGAACGGAAAGGCCCUGCUUUUGUGGGGUGCUCGAGUGGCGAACGGGUGAGUAACACGUGAGUAACCUGCCCUUGACUUUGGGAUAACUUCAGGAAACUGGGGCUAAUACCGGAUAGGAGCUCCUGCUGCAUGGUGGGGGUUGGAAAGUUUCGGCGGUUGGGGAUGGACUCGCGGCUUAUCAGCUUGUUGGUGGGGUAGUGGCUUACCAAGGCUUUGACGGGUAGCCGGCCUGAGAGGGUGACCGGCCACAUUGGGACUGAGAUACGGCCCAGACUCCUACGGGAGGCAGCAGUGGGGAAUAUUGCACAAUGGGCGGAAGCCUGAUGCAGCAACGCCGCGUGCGGGAUGACGGCCUUCGGGUUGUAAACCGCUUUCGCCUGUGACGAAGCGUGAGUGACGGUAAUGGGUAAAGAAGCACCGGCUAACUACGUG